CGAACGGGUGAGUAACACGUGAGCAAUCUGCCCUUGACUCUGGGAUAACUGCGGGAAACUGUAGCUAAUACCGGAUACGACCCUUGGAGGCAUCUCUGGGGGUGGAAAGAAUUUCGGUCAAGGAUGAGCUCGCGGCCUAUCAGCUAGUUGGUGAGGUAAUGGCUCACCAAGGCGACGACGGGUAGCCGGCCUGAGAGGGUGACCGGCCACACUGGAACUGAGACACGGUCCAG
Molecule: ribosomal RNA, 233 nt
Filed under: uncultured bacterium
Lineage: Bacteria
Description: partial 16S ribosomal RNA
Rfam family: Bacterial small subunit ribosomal RNA
Source: RNAcentral